AUGUUUUCUGGUGAUGACGUUCACCAGUCCAAAAAUCCGUGCUCCCACGUAAUGACGUCUAAGUGAAU
Molecule: non-coding RNA, 68 nt
Filed under: Ligilactobacillus acidipiscis
Lineage: Bacteria; Bacillati; Bacillota; Bacilli; Lactobacillales; Lactobacillaceae
Description: Lactobacillus acidipiscis Fluoride sequence
Rfam family: Fluoride riboswitch aptamer (crcB RNA motif)
Source: RNAcentral